UACAUGAAGGAAAGGCUGCACAUGUGA
RNAcentral lists this non-coding RNA (27 nucleotides) under Mus musculus (house mouse). The record is from RNAcentral. Lineage: Eukaryota; Metazoa; Chordata; Mammalia; Rodentia; Muridae.